RNAcentral lists this ribosomal RNA (468 nucleotides) under uncultured bacterium. RNAcentral's name for it is "partial 16S ribosomal RNA". It matches the Rfam family "Bacterial small subunit ribosomal RNA", at positions 28 to 507 of the family's 1533-position model. The record is from RNAcentral.
GACGAACGCUGGCGGCGUGCUUAACACAUGCAAGUCGAACGGAAAGGCCCUGCUUUUGCGGGGUGCUCGAGUGGCGAACGGGUGAGUAACACGUGAGUAAUCUGCCCUUGACUUUGGGAUAACUUCAGGAAACUGGGGCUAAUACCGGAUAGGAGCUCCUGCUGCAUGGUGGGGGUUGGAAAGUUUCGGCGGUUGGGGAUGGACUCGCGGCUUAUCAGCUUGUUGGUGGGGUAGUGGCUUACCAAGGCUUUGACGGGUAGCCGGCCUGAGAGGGUGACCGGCCACAUUGGGACUGAGAUACGGCCCAGACUCCUACGGGAGGCAGCAGUGGGGAAUAUUGCACAAUGGGCGGAAGCCUGAUGCAGCAACGCCGCGUGCGGGAUGACGGCCUUCGGGUUGUAAACCGCUUUCGCCUGUGACGAAGCGUGAGUGACGGUAAUGGAUAAAGAAGCACCGGCUAACUACGUG